AGAGAGAUGGCUCUGGUAGCGGUUUGCUGAGCGUUUUGGCAUCUUGUUAUGGUUGCAGUCAUUGUCCUUGGCGGGAAUGACAAAUGCAAAAGCUACAGAAAAGCAUCUUGGGAAGAUGUAAAAGAGGAAGAAUAAGAAAACAGAACUAAUGAAAUGUCCAUUUUGUUGUGGGAUUUUUUUCUUUUGGUCUGGAAAGCAAACCACCCAUUUGUGCCAAGUCACACACCAUAGCCAAGAAUCAAGAGUUGGGGAAUUCAACAGCAUGCACAACAGAGCAGCAAGCAUCAUUGUGAAGCCAGUGCUGCCAAGGAAAGUACUCCCUGAAUCCUUCCACACUGAAUUGGUCCAUAAGUCAUUUUCAGAUAUGUUAUGGCCCUCCUCAACUCAUGUAACCAGAAAAGCAAUUAAACAAAAUCAACUAAGCCAACAGCCAAGCCUGCCAACUUAA
RNAcentral lists this long non-coding RNA (448 nucleotides) under Monodelphis domestica (gray short-tailed opossum). Its description in RNAcentral is "lncRNA (ENSMODG00000030657.2)". Lineage: Eukaryota; Metazoa; Chordata; Mammalia; Didelphimorphia; Didelphidae. The record is from RNAcentral.